RNAcentral lists this ribosomal RNA (253 nucleotides) under uncultured bacterium. RNAcentral describes it as "partial 16S ribosomal RNA". It matches the Rfam family "Bacterial small subunit ribosomal RNA", at positions 524 to 776 of the family's 1533-position model. The record is from RNAcentral.
GACAGAGGGGGCAAGCGUUGCUCGGAAUCACUGGGCGUAAAGGGCGCGUAGGCGGGACGCCAAGUCGGUCGUGAAAUCUCCGGGCUCAACCCGGAGGAGUCGGCCGAAACUGGUGUUCUUGAGGGAGGCAGAGGAGUCUGGAAUUCCCGGUGUAGCGGUGAAAUGUGUAGAGAUCGGGAGGAACACCGGUGGCGAAGGCGGGACUCUGGGCCUACCCUGACGCUGAGGCGCGAAGGCGUGGGGAGCAAACAGG